GACCCUGGCCAACAUGACCUGAGCCAAAGGCAGAGGCUUUAACCCACUGAGCCAUCCAGGUGCCCCAUAGCUAGAUUUUUUAAGUGAAAAAACCACAGUGCAG
Mustela erminea (ermine) is the source of this 103-nucleotide long non-coding RNA. RefSeq lists it as uncharacterized. The transcript has 3 exons. The record is from RefSeq and is a predicted model, not a curated record. NCBI's taxonomy places the organism in Eukaryota, Metazoa, Chordata, Mammalia, Carnivora, Mustelidae.